This 462-nucleotide ribosomal RNA is filed under the name Streptococcus sp. oral taxon 058. RNAcentral describes it as "bacterial SSU rRNA". It matches the Rfam family "Bacterial small subunit ribosomal RNA", at positions 28 to 475 of the family's 1533-position model. Lineage: Bacteria; Bacillati; Bacillota; Bacilli; Lactobacillales; Streptococcaceae. The record is from RNAcentral.
GACGAACGCUGGCGGCGUGCCUAAUACAUGCAAGUAGAACGCUGAAGGAGGAGCUUGCUUCUCUGGAUGAGUUGCGAACGGGUGAGUAACGCGUAGGUAACCUGCCUGGUAGCGGGGGAUAACUAUUGGAAACGAUAGCUAAUACCGCAUAAUAUUGACUAUUGCAUGAUAGUUGAUUAAAAGGUGCAAUUGCAUCACUACCAGAUGGACCUGCGUUGUAUUAGCUAGUUGGUGGGGUAACGGCUCACCAAGGCGACGAUACAUAGCCGACCUGAGAGGGUGAUCGGCCACACUGGGACUGAGACACGGCCCAGACUCCUACGGGAGGCAGCAGUAGGGAAUCUUCGGCAAUGGACGGAAGUCUGACCGAGCAACGCCGCGUGAGUGAAGAAGGUUUUCGGAUCGUAAAGCUCUGUUGUAAGAGAAAGAAACGAGUGUGAGAAGUGAAAAGUUCCACCACUG